AAAAAAGGUUAUUUUCUUGCAUUGUGUAGCAGACAAGGUAGGAACUCAGCCAGGUGCCCAUUGUGCUUACUGUACUCUGCAAAUAAUCUCUGCUGUAACCAGGAUUUAUUUUUUGGAAUACUAAUGCUAAUACUAUUGAAGAUAGGUCAGAGCAGUUGAGUCUAUAUUUAAGAUAUUAGAGGUGGUGUGCUGAAAACUCAUCCUAAUUAGCUGCAGAAUGAGGGAGCUGAAACUUGGCUUCAUAUAGCCAACAUAAAAGUAAUUACUUGCUGAAUGAUAUAUACAUAUAUAUUAACUUUCUGAAAUGAGCAUACAAAAUCCCGAGCCUUAUGAAAAAGCAGCAUUAGACUAUUGGUGAAUGAUUGACACUUUAUUUUGAGUUCAGUUGCACUGCCUUUUUGUGCAAUGACAGUUUUUACCCUGUCUGAUGGCUCUUACCUUUCAAGUUUUGUAAACCACAUUCUUGCACCAACACUUUGUCUCUUGCAGAGUUCCUAUGAAUGUUCUUCAGCUGUAGUAAAAGGAUGAAUUUCUCUUCUUUUUAAAAGUAAGUCUUGAUGCUGAAUAUUGACCCACUUGCACAGUAAAAUAUUAAAUGUGUUUUGUAGUAACUUGCAGUAGCACUAGUUGUGAAAAUAUCAUUGACAGUAUGGGAGACUCAAACUAGUGGCAGUAACAUAUUUAACUGGUGUGAGUAGUCCCGUUGAGGCAAGCAGAAACUAUUUAAUACUCUGCAUUUUGGCAGCUGGGUGACUUGAAUGUGUCUAAAUUUAUAUAUAUAGUCAAGUAAGUUCAAUUGCAGUGAGUUCUAUCAUUUUUGCUAUAGUGACUCCCAGCUCCCAUUAGCACAUCCCCAAAUUGUGGCUGACUGUAACAGUUUCUUCAGGUGCUGCUUCCUUGCAAGAGGCAGAGAAAGGAUGGUCUUUGUUUGUGGAAAUCUAUAUAGAUACAGCAAUCAGCUGUCAUCCCUUAGUGUCUUUUUUCACAAACUGAAACACAGGAGGCUCUGUCUGAACAUCAGGAAGCACUUCUUCACUGUGAUGGUGACCGAGCACUUACACAGGUUGCCCAGGAAGGUUAUAAAGUCUCCAUACUUGAAGAUAUCUAAAAGCUGUCUGGAUAGAAUCAUGGGCAGCAUGCUCUAGGUGGCCCUUCUUGAGCAUGGGGUUGGACCAGAUGACCUCUAGAGUUCCCUUCCAACCGCAACCAUUCUGUGAUUCUGUAAUUCUUUUCCUCACUUUAUACACAGUAAACUAUUUUACUUCUGCUUCUAUCUUUUUCCUAUUUCACAGUUUGUUCCAUUGCUGCUUAUUGUCACAUGAGUAAUCCUUUCAUUAAUAAAGCGGGGGGGGGGAGAAGGGUUACAGAAGGUCAAUAUUCAUCUGAAUAAAUGUAAUGUAAAGCAUGUAGCGAUCACCUUUGCCUCGUGUGUUAUUUAGCUUGAGUUGAGGCUUAAGUGUUUAAAAAAAAAAUGAAUCCCAUCAGGAGUAUGUUCAUGAUUUAACCUCCAUAACUAAUAAAGUACAGGAUUAAAUAUGUGUUUAAUGCAGAGGAAUUAUCACUUUCCUGAUGACUCUUAAUUGCUUACAAAUAGUGGAUUUUGCUAUUCAGUUAUGAUCGGGCCUGAGGAAGCAACUGAAGCUCAGAGAUUUCUUUUGCAUAAGGCUUUCCUGGUGCAGUGAUGUCAAUAGGCUGAUGAGAUAUUCCUAGUGUGAUGGCAGCUCUUAACCAAGUGCCAGUGAGACUUGCUCCUUGCCCCUUCACCAGGGAAAAGGAGCUGUUCUGAGGGGGAGGAAAUCAUGGAAGGACAUGACAAACCACGCUUUUGUACAGAGGAAAGGACCUUGCCAGGGCAGAAAUGUGGAUGAGGUGAGGAUUUGCUGCAGUUGAAGAUGAAAGGAGCUGCCAAGUAGUGUCAGAUAGGUAUGGAGGCUUCAAAUAAUAAGGAAUAUCUGCUUGGCUGCACUGACUCCUUUUCAAGGUCACCUGUGUUUAGUCUUCAGGGAGUUGCAUCACUGUAUCCCCCACACAGCCAUUAAGGCAAGAAGCUGAUAGUGUAGAGCAAGCCUUGGAGAAAAGGUGCACUUCACACUAGUUGUUAAACUCUUGUAGUCCUUGCCUUGAAGAGCAAAUAUGCUAGAGAGUGUUUGCUUUGCUGCUGCUUUGUGACAUACUGCACUCUCCUGCAGGUAUGGCUUGAGGGACCAGGAGGAAGAAGGAAAUGUAGAUAUAUCUGGGAAGAGAAGCAAAAAGUGGGAGAGGACAAGGCAGAGGGUGGAGGGUGGAAGAGGCUGUAGAAGUUGCCAAAGGAGCAAGAUUUAGAUUCUGCUGUGAAGUUUGAUGUGCAUGUGACCAUGACUUGUCAAAUCCAAAAUGGAACUGAAAGGCAUGGAAUAGUGCAUGGAGGCAAAGCUCAGUGGUCAAGAAGAGCUGCUCUCUGGAUCACUCCUGGAAGAGAAAACAGGCUCAAGCCUGCAGGAGGGUGCUUCUUUCAUCCAAGGCUUUUUCAGAAAUAUUUUAAAAUAACCUCUUCAACUUAUGCUCAUUUGUGGGUUUAUGUACUGGCUGGUUUGUUGAAAUAUUAAUCUUGUAGUUUCAUUAGGCACAAUGCAUACCAUGUGGGUUUGAUUAAGAAGCAAGAAUAAAAACACAAUGAAAAUUGAA
This is a long non-coding RNA of Chiroxiphia lanceolata (lance-tailed manakin), 2664 nucleotides long. RefSeq lists it as uncharacterized. The transcript is spliced from 2 exons. The record is from RefSeq and is a predicted model, not a curated record. Lineage: Eukaryota; Metazoa; Chordata; Aves; Passeriformes; Pipridae.